RNAcentral lists this long non-coding RNA (20727 nucleotides) under Olea europaea (common olive). RNAcentral describes it as "long non-coding RNA (OEUR_LNC009240)". The record is from RNAcentral. Lineage: Eukaryota; Viridiplantae; Streptophyta; Magnoliopsida; Lamiales; Oleaceae.
CCGCAUGAAGGGUACUGGGGUGCUAUGGUAUGCCCCCUGUAGGAUUAAGUGAGCCUGCCCGGGCCCCCUACCUGCUUAGCCUUUGUUGGGUAAGCUGCCCCUGUUGGCUUGGGGAUAAGUAAGAAAGGGGAAGGAAUGAGAGAUCCAGUUCAUCCUCAUAGCAAGAAAAAGGAUCCAGAGCUAAGCCCCCUCCCAUUCGAGGCUGGGUGGCCUCGCCCCACAAGCACCCAACCUUCCUUUUGCUCUUCCUUGAAUCUCGUAUCACUGCCAACCAUUUGGUGGUAAAGUCCAAACCCAUUUCCCGAAUGAGGCCUCUUUCUUCAUUUGCAUGAAAUAUAUCCAACCAAGAGAGUCGUGCAACCUCCUGAACCUCCUUAUUAUCUUGACCUGCAGGUUCUCCAGCGCGAGGCUCCUAUUUACUUUACUCCCCGAGGCUUAGCGCAGGCGAAUCCCAAGCAAGUAUUAGUUUUGACUAUCUAUAGCAGCAAAGAGUUCACAUCUGGUCAGUCUUUUUGAAAACUUUGACUGUUAGGAGGAUAUUGGGAUCCCUCAACUCUGUAUUUUUCUCUUUCAUCUUUAAUCCCAUGACAUUAAAGACUACAUUAUUCAUGAGACAGUCUUAGUGAUUGAAUCUUGACUCGCCCUUUGGGCAUUCACCCUAGUAGGUUUGGUUCUCUCUCUUUCCGGGCCGGGCGGGAGGUGAAGGCCAUAAGAGAAGAUUGCCCUCCCGAUAAGGAAGAGGGGAAAAAGGUGCUGUCAUCUAUCUCGACCAGUUUCCCGAGGCGUUGGAAAUCCAGACCGGCUCAGAGAAUCACUGGCGCCUUUGGCGCCCUUCGUUUGAGCCCAAUUUCUCUUCUUUCCUAUCCGGCUUAGUCUUUGCCGAGCUUCUUUCUUCCUUCCUUGGCUCAGAAGAGUGACUUUCGUUCCUAUCCAACUCAUGAGAAUGCUUUCACUCAUUCCCGGCUUAGCCGAGUCUUCAUUCCCUUGCCUUUGGUUCACCCCAAGACUCAGUGAUAAGAUAUACGCGGUAAGCCGACUCCCUUCUUUACUGCAAAGUAGACUGCUUACUAUAGGGAAUACCCGGAUUAGAUUGAGCCUUUCCUGUCCAAGAUCUUAUUUUCUUUCAAAGCUAAGCCUUCACUCCGCCAUACCAACUACUGGUCAAGCUUAACUACUCUCCCUACGAGCUGUUUUCAACUCAUAUCCCGGUGCGAGAGUCUCUGGGCAAGAAGUCUGUAAAGACGAUAUAAAAAAACCAGUUCACUCAGCUAUAAUAGUUGAGCCCGUACACAUGAAGGCAUGCUUGCUUGCCUCCCUUAUUAAAAGGCACAUCACUUAGACUGCUAAAAACUGAUGCAAGCAAAGUUCCUCAGUACCUCUGGGCCGAAGCCUUUAAUAAAGCAGUGCAUAUGAAUUACUGAUUGCCAUCGUCGACUAUUGCUGGUGACUCCCCUCAUUAAAAGCUUUUUCAAAAGAUUCCAGACUAUUCCUAUUUCAAAGCCUUUGGAUGUCUCUGUUUUCCUCAUAUUUAUUGAUGCUUCACAAAGAAAGAAGUUUUCUCAAAAGAAAAUCGUUCUUGUUGGAUAUAGUGAAGAACAUAAACAUAAAGGGCCGGUUUGAUGAAAGUCGAUUUGGCUAUGGUAUGCUUUUCUUUCGAGCUAGGUAGUGAGCGGACUAACCCUAAAAAAGGGAGAGAGAUUCAACCGCUAAAGAAAGCUAGCAAAUCGACGAUUUGAAGUCGGUUCGGGCCCUCCUAAAGAGGAGAGCCAGUCCCUUUCCCCUGCCAAUUAUUCAAUCAGCUUCAAGAUCUUGUGAAUAGUCUCUCGUGGAACGCACCUUGACAUAACUUUCUAUUCGGCUAAGAAAAAGACCUCUCCCUGCGAUAGAUCUGCCUUAACGGGGGAUACAGUCUGCAUGAAACAUUCACUUAGUUGAUAAUUCCACUCCCCUAUGUGCCAAUCGCUAGCGCAUCCAGGGCCCCGGCGCCCAGCUCAGCUGGAGAGGCCUAGCCUGAUUUGAGAAGUGCUAAUUCGGUUCGGAUAGACUUCAUUCAAGAAUGCCGCCGCCCUUGGAAUCAAUAAGAAAACAAGUGCUAAGUUUCAGAUCAGUGAAUAACCCGAAACGAAAGAAGAGACAUUUCUCGCUCGGCGCCUAAAGCGCACUAUGCUCCGCUUCAACAAAUGAGAGUUUUCGGUGGAACCGGUGAACCACGCGAGCUGGUUAGAUGCGUGGGACAGAGGGCUCGUAGUACCUGCUAGCGCAGCUAUGCAGUGGAAGGGAAGGAGCCUAAAUCGACCCCCUUCUUUUUUUUUCAAAGAAAAAAAAAGCAGUACAAGGAGACUUUUAUGUCGGAUGAGACUAAGCAGCUACCGACCGUUCCGACGCGCCCUUGACCUAUCUUGAUUAAAACCAAAAACCUUGGAGUGAGGUUGCGUAUAUUAUAGAGUGGCAGUUGCCUAUUGACAGAAGUCAUCUCUACGCACACUAACCCUUAGUAUACUUUUGGCUCUAGCCUAGAAUAGAAUAAAGUCCCAGUGCAGAAGUAGAGAAUUCAAGUGAAAAAGCACAGGCAUCUUUAGAUCGUCAAGUACUUCCCGAUAGUACCCAUUUUGGUUUCGUCCAGUCAUUAAUAACUUGAUUCUUUUUAGAUAAUAGUAGAUAGAAACAACGCUUGUAAGGGAGGAAGAAAUAAGGGGAAGUAAUCAUAAUGGUAAACCAGAGUAUAAGCUUGAUCCGCCUUCACUUCACUUACAUAAUUUCUUGAGUUAGACCUAAACUAAUAUGGACUCAGAGGCCAAGAGUUCCGACUAUCGAACUAUCGAAUUAAAGAAGGGAGAAAGCCCGGGGAACUGGCCUGUGCCUCUUCUAUUACAUUACAGAGAAGUCCAUUCUCGUCAUGAUCGAUCCACGCCCUACCGUAGUGCCCGGAGAACCAGGCUUGCUUAGCUUACAAAGCUAGCUUACUAAGGCGAAGGAAUUUCUCGUUGAUUGCACGAGCUAGCCAGCAAACCCCCCCUUACUCAUCUCUCUCUCUAUAAAAAAAGCCCUUUCUCCCCUUCAUUCUACUUAUUAGACUUGGUUUAGGUAUGAAUCUUGAUCUCAUGUGGGCUUUGGGGGAUUUAGUUGGUGGAGACGUCAACGAGGCCGGGUCAAUGCUCGUUUUUAUGUCUAUUUAAGAAGCAUUCUCUUGUAGCUGUAUUUAUGGUUGGCCGCGAGGCUCUCUAUUUCAACGGUUUCUUUUUCCCAAAAGCACACGAAAUGUUCCAAAGGCUUUGAAAUAGGAAUAGUCUGGAAUCUUUUGAAAAAGCUUUUAAUGAGGGGAGUCACCAGCAAUAGUCGACGAUGGCAAUCAGUAAUUCAUAUGCACUGCUUUAUUAAAGGCUUCGGCCCAGAGGUACUGAGGAACUUUGCUUGCAUCAGUUUUUAGCAGUCUAAGUGAUGUGCCUUUUAAUAAGGGAGGCAAGCAAGCAAGCCACUGAUCUAACACUCAAUCGAAACUUGUUCCAUUGCACUUAUGGUUAUACUUAUUACCUACUAAAUCUCUUUACGUUCCCCAACACAAAUGCAAAAAAACACAAUGCAACUUUGCUGAAAGAUGAAUGCGGUAACAAUGGGGGGUGGUCUUUAUGGCGCACAGAGUGGCAGUGACUCGCGCAAGUCGAGUGAGAAAGAGGACUUUCUCUCUCUCGCCCGACUCGCCCCCCCUAUAUAGUCAAGCUUUGGCAGCUCCAGUAGGGAAGAAAGAACCUCGAAAAAACCCGGCUCCAGCUACCUUUAGCGGCUGUGGGGAUCGCUCCCUGUGAUCUCGGUCGGUUCGGCUGCGACUGAGCCGUCUCUUCCACUUCUUUACCCGCGGACUCCAGAACACAUUCGGUAGGCUGUCUUCCUUCGACACUCUGUUCAGCAGCCUUUUCUGGAUCACCAGCCGACUCAAAACCAACGGUCGUGAUCCCAUUAACAGUCGCAUUAUAGCCAAUGCUAUGACUUCAAUGUCUGUACAUAGCAGGUAUGGCUCUUUAAAUCUUACUUCAGCUAAUCCUAAAGCAAGAAGGCAUAGAGUCGAUCUACCUAUGACGCUUGUCAAUGGAUUUGCUUUGUUCAAUUGAAGCUAAUGCUAUGCCCCUUGAAAAAGAGAAAGCGAGGACUUUCUUUUAGCUACCGGCCCAAACAAAAAAAAGAGAUUAGCUUGUAAGGAUCCCAUGCGUUGAUCAAUGCUCAAGGGAAGGGCAAAAGAAGAAGAAGAGCUAUUCUUUACAUGAUACGCUACUUGAUCGUCCCGAUAUCAUGCUUGGUACUGGCUCUGAUCCUGAUAUGAUUUAUGCGGUUCUGCCUGAUCAAAAUGAUGUAUUGGUGUUAAUGGGAUUAUCCCUAGAUAUACAGAUAGAAUAGAUGUUCAUGGAUAGACAAACAUUCCAUUGAUUCUUAGUUUUUGGGCUGAAAAAGCUCGUCGAUCCAAAUGAAUCAUUCUUCUGGUCUCUCUUCACUCUCCGCCCCGAAACUGACCCACGGCACAGCGCCCAUUCGCUUCGCUAAGGGAAGGCAAUGAAGUUCAGUGCCCCCCUUAUUUUGCCCUUCCUCUAAGGGGUUGUUGUGUAACAAGCGCAUAAUGUCCACUGGAACGUCCAUGGAUUUUAUAUCAUAUCUCUUUCAACUUUAGGAAUUUAUUUGAAAGAAGAGACAAGAGCAGUUACGCCUUUUUCUAAUCCCGGAUAAGCAGCUAAGAGCCUUUCAAUAGCGCAGCGGAUCUUGCUAACAUUUUAGACUCUACUUAGUGAGUUGCCUACCCUCGGGUUCCUUCACUCGCUUAAGAGAACAAGAAUCUUUGCUCUUUCCAGACACCGACACUUUGACUUACAUUCAGCUUGUGUUCCGUGGAGUAGCUUCUUUAUCCCGUCGCAGCCCCUCAUCAUAGAAUGAUACAGGCUAAACCGGGAGGAGUAGGUAGAGUUAGCUUCCGAAGGAGACAAGACGGCUGCAAUUGUGGAAUAAAAGGACGGGCUGGUAAGAGCCUUUUUCCACGGAAGGUACCCUUUCUAAAGGUAACUUCCAGCCAUGUAUGAAAGGGGCGUCUUCUAAGGCUCGUUCUCAUCGAGGAGCAUGGAAGGAAGAAUGGCUCGACCGUACGUAGGCUCCUUCGUGUGAAUAAGGGCAGAACAUCGGCUCUAACCAAUGAUUGCCAGUUCCUAAGCUCCGGCCUAAAGACAACUGCCUUCUCAACCCACUCGUACGGCUCGUUCACAACUCUCAGGUCCCAAUUGACACCCGAUUUCUGAUAGAAUUGCUGGUCUGCUCCGCUGUAAAAGCCGGCAUUUAUGGAAGCCACCAAGAAUGUGUCCUCUGGCGUUGGGGACCCCAUCCUCGGCUUGGGCAUGGGAGUCAAAUGUAUCAACCUCAGUGAAAAGGAACGAUGGGAAGAAUCGACGAGGAAUCUAGAACAUAAAAUCGUGAAUGAAAAAGCGGAAUCUCCUCCGAUUGCUGCUUUCGGGACUAUUUACUAGAUUUAUAUAGUUAUAACACUCUAACUAACUGACAAAGCGUCUGUUCACGGGGGUUGUAGUUUUUUUCGAGAUUGGGUUGGUGUUCAGUGUACCGGGCACAAGAUCGAAAAGAAUGCGAAGCUUUCCAUGCCCAAAGACUCCCAUGCCUUUCUUGGUUGGACCAACCCAACCGGCCAUUUCCGACAAGUCUUUCUUCAUUUUGAGAUGGGAUUUUCGCUAAUGCGGAUUCGCGAAGAAAGGAAAGUCAACCGACUUACUUUUUUGCUCCCAGUCAAACUUUCCUGGAUUACUUAAUUGGUGGUACCCGAAUCAAUCCACCAUGCAUAAGUAGAUAAAAAAAAAUCAAGCAACUUUUCAGACACCAGGGCAUAGUGAUUACCUUCCGUCACUCCUUAAAAAACCGAAGCUUUGAACUUAAUCUCGUGCAAUCCUUUAUUAUGAUUAUGGUUGCAAAGCGUAGUGAAAGAACAAGAAGACAAGGAUAAUCAGACUCACUAAAGGACUCGAUGUAAAAAUAAGGAAUCUAUUUUGGGGGGAACUCGGCAGAAGAUCGGUCUGUAGAUUCAUAGAUCGGUCGUUCCAGAUGUGAUGUUGCAAGCCGCCGAUCAACGCAACCACUUAGAUCAAAAUAGCAUUGUUCUAACAUAGAGUAGAAUCGAACAUUGAAGAGAUUAAUUGACAACAGUAAAAAGAUGGGCGCCUAAUUCCAAUACAAUAGAGCCCGACAAAGGGGAUAUCAAGAUUCCCGUGCGAAGGGACGAGCGAAAGACUUCCAAGUAAGCUAGGCUUACCCUUCCCCUCUUCGAAUCUGAGAUGAUAGUUACCUUUCUAACUGCGCAUUCUUCUCAAAAUCAAGUGCAAUCAAUAAAUAAGAGGAGUUCUAUUCUUUUUAAAACUUCAACUGCGGCUUCUAUAAAGCGGUUUAACCUUCCUUAGCGGGGACCUUUAUGCUACCAGCCUCUGCUAUUGACACUCUUUCUAUACUAUACGAGCUGUAGGAUAAGAUCACUGCCAUCUCACGAAUUGGACUCGCCGUAGGUAAGCUCUAUUCGGUCCGGAGCAUUGAUUCCCUAUAACGAAUAGGCUAGCGGAACGAAUUGAAUGCGAAUGGUAUUUGUCUUUUCGCAGCAUUCGCGGCUGAACAUGAAGGCUAGCUACUAGCGCUAACGGAUCUCGUUGUGAAUGAUAUUGACUACUCCGGCUACCAGACUAUCGACUAGACAAAGGCAUACUCAGAUCAGUCAUUCUAAGCGCAAGAAGGCGUAUGCCAAGGACAAACUUCCCGAAGGAGCAGGAACUGCCAUUCUAACUCUUCUCGGGAGAAAGGUCAUCUACUGCCGAUGGAGUAAGCGCUAAGGAGCUCAUCCCGAGUCUUUGUACUUGCCCAAAUCCCCUGCUUGCAAGGGAUCGAACUGCUCAACAAAGUCACUCCUUGAACAGAAGCCCGAGACUCUUUCGCAAUUCCGUCCAAUUGGAAGGGUUUUGGGUGGGAGAGAGACCACUGGAAGACUUAUUCGUUUAGAUAGAGAUAACAGAGCUAUACAUCAAAAAUAUUGAACUCAGUAUCCCCCAGGCGUUCACUAAAUGCAUUUUGCUUACAGUCACUAGGAAAGGGGUUCUAGUAACGAAAGAUUCCUUCUAUAGGUAGGCCACAUUUAUCAUAUUCAUUUCAGUGCUUUUUUUCUACCAUUUUUGAAAGCAGGGGCAAGUCAGGCAUAAUUAUUUCCCGGGGGGAUCGUUUCCAUUUACAUAAUAGUUAAGCUUCUCGCGCAUUCGUGCUUGCUGUGAAAGUGAUCUUUGUAAUCAAGAGAUGGGGCGUUCUCUCUCCCUACUUAACUAACAAGCAAUGGGGACAAAGGCCUCGAAUCCUGUCUUUGACGGUGAUCAUAGCGCUGGGAAACUGAUCAAAUGUUUUCUGUCUCAAUGUCAGUGUGAAAGUCCUAAUAUCUUUACGAGGUCGAAAUAGCAUCACAGAAAGAGCAGCCGGAACCUACUCCCAGUUGGACCUGGUUAAGAUGCUGCCACCCUAGAUUCCCUUCGGCGGGAGAAGUCCCCAAAGUCAGGUUUUCUUCCUUGAGACUUGACACUGUAGAAAGUCUUCCUAUUAAGCUAAGGCCGGAUUCUCUUUUUCUUCCGACGAUCUUCGUUGCUGAUUCCUCCAUCCUAGGAGGGGAAGUUUCUCUUUCAUCAUCAGCAAGAGAUUGAAAUCUCCUGGAAUAUUGACAUCAAUUGCUGCAAAGGCAAUCACAAGUGAAGCAGAGAAAAAAGAUUUGCAUGCAAGCAUGUGAAUAAAUUCGAUUCUAUUUGAUACUUACCAGGUAUCUCAGAGGCUGGUUUCGCACCCGUCUCCAUCUCCAUUGCAGCAGAUUCAUUGAUUCCAACCGAAGCUGGAAUCUCUUCUGCUAUCUUCUCUCUUUCUGUCCUUCAUUUAAGACAGAAAAAAUAAAGGCUGGUUGAUAUAUAUAAGGUGGACUGGGUCCCGGCCCUGUCCUACAUCGCUUCUUUCUAGAAAAGGUGAUCCUCCCAAACCUAGAAGAAGGACAACCUGAAUUGAAAUUUGCAUGCUGGAGGGGAUGGUUUUUAAUCCCUGCGCCACAAUCUCACCCUCCGCACUUAAGAGGUAAGGAUGCUUUUGAGUGCCUGUACUACAUACAGGAUUGUCGUAAGUCCACUCAUUCAACCAUUUCUCUGUGAAUUGCAUACAAAAGGAAAAGGUAGUUGAUCGAUUCCGCCCUUUAGCUUGGCACUACUUUACUGAAAGCGAAUAGUGCGCUACGCACCUUCGACGCUGGGGAAGGCAAGGAACUUAUUUACUAUUUCCAAAGGCCGACGAAUACCAUGUAGUAAAGAUAGAGAACCCAUUGGACUGAGCGAGGGGAUGGUUCUUAUUAGAAAGAAAGCAUUGGUACCGUACUGGCUUGGCACGCUACGACCGAUACUGCACUCCUACCAAGCCUUCUCUCUUUUCUUAUGGAUAACAUAGAGCUCUAUAUAGUAUCCCCCUCCCUACUAGGACAGGUUUGGAAGCUAGGACUGAUUAGACCGUACUGUACAUCCUCUUCUGGGCAUCGUCAUCGAUCCCUAAGACCCUCUUAUGUGCUACGUCCUACUCCUACUGCAGAUAGAUGCCGACCCGCUUGACUGCUUGACUUUGCCUGCUUUCCUGUCUCAACAAUAAGAUAAGAAAGGAAAUCAGUCCCUAAGCUGCCUAAUUCCUUAUCCUCCGUAUAGUCAAGGGCCUAUUCUCUUUAUUCUCUCCCUCACCUCUGUGCGCACCGGUAAUUCCUUCACAGUUCAAACUCCCUUUGACUGCUAACUCUUAGCAAUAUCCUUUCUUAUAUACUUGCAGUUCAGUUCCAAACCUUAGGGCAAUGAUAAGAUAAAGAACCGCUCCGCACCUUCCCUAUGUGCAAUGCGAGAAGUUCCUUGGUUUAUAGAGGUAAAUCAGUCAGACAUGCCAUGUUCAGUCUAAUUGCCCUAUAGGUCUUACAGACUAACUCUUCCUAGUGUCAGAGCUAAUCGAAUUGGGAUACCUUAAAUAGUCAAGAUCUUUCCCCUAUGUCAGUUGGAUUCGUGAAAAGAGAACAGCUCCUUCUUUGCAUCAGUUACCUUUCAAGGCUUUGGCUAGGAAGAAUAGGCAGCUAUUGAAUCCGGGGCUAUGGACUCAGCCGUUGCACAUAACUUAAAACAAUGCCAAUUACCAGUCGCAGUAGCAAUAGGAUAAGGCACGCAAGGUGACGAAGGAAAGGCAGAAGUCCCACAGCGUUUACGCCGACAACAGCCUAUUCUGUGCAUUGUCUCAUUGAUCCGAUUUGCAAACAACCUAUUUUAUUUUGACUAACAACCUACGUCUUUUUUGUUCUUUUGAACCAAAAUUUUUUUUGUCUUUUUGAUUUGAGUUCAUAAUAACUGGCAGGUUUCAUUAAUGAAAAGAAAAGCGGUUUUUUUUCCAUCUGCUAGCAUUGUGGUUUGGAAUCGAUUCUUUAUCAACGGCCCACCCUUUCUUUGAACCUUGUCAAUGAUCGAACUUAAAGAUAUGAACUGAGUGCCAUUUGAUGAGUAACUGAGAACAAAGGAGAGGGCCGUCAACAAUUAAUGACGAUACUGUAGCAAGGGCUUGGGACUAUUCCCACCUCCCUCCGAAGCAUUCUCCUAAUCAAAUGACUUGUGAUAAAACAUUCAUACUAAGGAUGAAUUCAAUUUCUCGAGACUCGAGCCUAUAGAGGUUCGUUCGGGAUUGCUAUCUUUGAUUCAACCGUUCUUUUUAGACAACGGAUUUCGCUGGGCGAAUAGAGUCCCGAUGGCCCCGCAGAGAAAUAGCAGCCGAUCUUAUGAAAGAAGCCCUUCAUAAGGCACUCAGGUAAUGAAAGAUAAGUGCUUCCCACAGGAAUCACUGUUUUCGGGCGAAAGUGAAACCAUCUGCCUCCUUCGACUAGAGGUCAGUCAAUAGCGGCGGCCAAAUCGAUAGUCCUUGAGGGGAUCUCUUACUUCAUUGGAACGGGAACUGACAAAAAAUUAUGGAUAGAUCCCUGGUUGAACGGAGCGGGCUUGGACGCCGACCGAUCAGCUAUCUCAGUAGUGGUAAAGAAACUCGUUUUUCUUCCUGAGUGAACGCAGGGGAACUAUCCUUCAAAUUCCACCCAUUCCGGAUCCUGAUGCGGUUGAUUCAUAUAGUGGUCGAGAAGUUGGAGCUCAGAUGGGAGAAUACCAAAUAGGGUAUGCUGAUAUAAAAGCUCACUUAGGGAAGAGCGGAUGGAAAGAGGAGGCCUUUGCUCUAUCUGCUUCUUCCUCUUCCCAGGAAUGAACAAUUGGAUUCAAAAAAAAUGAUUUUUCUAGUUGUGAUGCGAACAGGCCUUUACUUAUGAGAUUAGUUGAGUAGGCUUGCGUUAGCUUUUUGGGUAUGAACGAGAUGGAAGAACCAAUGUAAGAUAGACAGACCGGAUUCCAGUGUUAAGUAUUUCCCCUACGAGCGAAGGAAAAGAGGGAAAGAAUCGAACCUUUCGUCUCAUGUGACACUCCUCAGCCCGAGGACAAUCUCUCAAAAAAAUACAUUAAGAUGUAGGCUCUACCUACUAUACCAACGGAGCAAAGCCCUUUCCAUACGCUAUCGAUUGGUAUAGCUCAGAAUGGUUAAUGAUACUGACAGAGAAGGGUAAACUAAACUCCUGCCAAUUUUAUCUUGCCUCCAAACUCAAGCGAGCACUUUAUGGCCUUAAAUUAAACAAGCACCCUAAAGGGGCUAUAGCUGUCCACAAAUUUCGUGUAGUAAUUCGGGUUGUUGAUCUACCGCACCCGAAAUGGCUUUCUCAUAUUGGGGCGUUCCGGUGACGUUCGAUCGCGGUACCCCGCUGCAUAAAGCACUACAAUUGGUUUUUCAAUGGCAAGUGCCGGUCGUCGAGGCUGCUGGCACGGAGUUAGCCGGGGUUUCUUCCUCGAGUCUUGUCAUGAUCGCGCACUCGAUGAAAGAGCUUUACAAGCGGCAUUGCCCUUCUUCACUCACGCGAUAUUGCUAGAUCGGGCUUUCGCCCAUUGUCCAAGAUUCCCCACUGCUGCCCCCCGCGGGAGUCCGGGCCGUGUCUCAGUCCCAGUGUGGCUGAUCGUCCGAAAAGACCAGCUAAGCAUCAUGGGCUUGGUCAGGUAAAGAGAGGUUAAGCAUGACUUCCCAUAUCAAUGCUCCCUCCUUUCAAAGCAGGUUUUUCCACUGAUGUAGAUAAAGGCUCCAUUCCUGCCGCAAGGAAGGCAGGGAGUAGCACUAGUCUCAGGGACAUGCCCAGAAGAGGCAGUUUUUCUUUUAGAGAUAGGGAAAACAUUUGCUCCAGGUUGCUAAACACCAUUCGUGGAGCCGUGUGGUCCAAGCUAAAGAGAAGAUGGAAAACUUCGAAACAACUUAGGAGUAGGGGCUUACGGUCCACGCAUUAAAGUGCUUCUUUUUGGUUUGAAAAAGCGACUUUUUUUCUCUUUUAUGCUAUCAAGCUGAAAGACCUCAGUCGUAGGGCUCAGAGACAGUCGGUCCGUAGAACCUAUAAAAAGGAGAUGGUUGUGGCGCGAAGUACUCUUGUGCACCUACGUCAUUCGACUGGCGCGCAAGCCCGUCCCGUUAUCUUAUGGAAGAAUUGAGCUUAUUGCUGGGCUGGUUAUUCAGAGCCAGCAAUAAGCUGUCGGAUUUCGUCCCGCAACUAGAAGAAGAUGGCUUCGGGGGUCACUGUGGUGUGGCUGAAUGUAGAGCAGUCCGCCCUUACAGUCUUUGAUCAGUAGAUUAUUUAGAACUUCGGAAGAUGGUCAAGGCUUUUAUACCAAGCCACUGCACUAGAUGGGCAUGUAGUCGUCGUAGUAGUCGGCCCAAAAUGCCUCUGUUCUUUACUAAAAUACUAUUUCGGAUGAAUGGGGAAUUACGUCGCUCUUUGAUCUGCAGAAUAAGGCCUAGGAGCUCUUUCUUUUAUGGCAGAGAUCUCUCCACACCAAGAAACCGAAUCAUAAUGGAUCGAAGCCCUCCUUUUCCUUCCAAUUACUGAGAUUCUAUCUCUUACUUGAGAAAUUGUAGUCAACCCCGACUACACCUUCCUCGGAAUCGAGACUUUUUACAAUUUCCACUGACGAGCUUUCUCGCGAGCUCUUUCUUCUCGGGAACAUCUCGAAAUCGAGCGGGCAGAAAAGAAAUUGUUUCAACCUAUAAAAAAAACAUCUGUUCCCAUGUAGUCGGCAUUCUAGAAGCAAAGCUUCCCGAGAAAGAAGGACUAUGAAAGCCAUAAAGACAUUGACAAGUCCAUCUUCUUUUCCCUCUGCCGAUGAUCUAUCUCCCUCUCUUACCUAAGAGAAGCUUUAGAGGGAAUAGGGGUGAAACGACUUUUAUGAGCUGUCUCAGUAGUGACUGUGUGAUUAGUGGCUUAGCUGUUAGCUGUCUAAAAGCUACGGUCAAAAUAAAGCCCUUUAUUAAUUGAAAAUAAACCACUAAUACGCCUUAGGUACUCUUUUAAGUCCGUAUAUGUAAAAGAAAAGAUUCACUCCCAAUAUACCAUUCAUCAGACGAUUAGUGCAUCUCCGAUCUCCUUCGUGCUAAUCUCGACCCAAGGACGUAUAGAUGAAGUCCCAUGGUUUAGUUUAAAUCAUAUAGAAAAGUAUGACAAACGGUCGUAGUCAUCGAUGAGAUAAAUUCCUAAGUUCACGUAUAAGAGCAAAUAGGCAGGACUGCCAGAAAGAAGGACUAUGAAAGCCAUAAAGACAUUGACAAGUCCAUCUUCUUUUCCCUCUGCCGAUGAUCUAUCUCCCUCUCUUAUUGACCUUGGAACCCUAUAUGAGAAGUAGGUUAGCGGACAGGUCCGUGCUGGAACCGACUAGCAGAUGUGGCCUAUCGGUAAGAGGAAGCUCGGGAUUCGUGCCAUGUAUGUGGCACACAACUGGUUUUAUCGAUGUGAAUCAACAAAUCACAGGAAAAUUGGGUCACGUAGAUCUUCUAUUCUUCCUAGGAUGCUCCGAUUCUUUCUGAAGUUCAUCAUUGGAAACGCCUUCGACUUUAUUUUCUAUUUACUAGCCUCUCAAAUAUGGUUUGGAACUCAGUUCUAUCUAUGAGGUAAAGAUACCCUGAUUAAGGCGGUGCAAGGGACAGCUAGCUAUAUAAAAUCGGUAGCCCCGGGCGGAGCAGCUCGAAGAGGGGCAUCUAUCUCUAUUGAUCGAGCUGAAGGAAGGGCUUCAUAGCCUUUACCUUAUUCCGGGGAGGAGAAAAGGAAGUCAAGUGCUACUUAUUACAAAAGGCGAACCCAGGUAGUGAGCUAUUUAUAGCGAAGGAGUUAUCGACCCGCCCGAGAACACUAUAAGGUGGGUCUACCAGUCCAAGGGGGAGAACUCAGAACUCAUUAGCUCGAAAAGUCAUUAGCUAGAUAGGAGAUAAAUACCUUAUGGAGCGGAAGCAUUGGAUAUAAGCGAGUCCUACCGUACCUCCAAACAAAAGGAGGAUUGUUCUGUACAUGGACGGAUGUAUAGGAACAGGUACGGCGGUAUCCCGAAUACAAAUAAAAAAACUGUGUAUGAUAUGGCCCAUUGACAUAAUGCGAGAGCUGUUUAAGAAAGAGGCGGAACAUCGCUCUCCGUGGCAGCAAGGGGAAAAGGAGAUAUUGAUUCAGUCGGAGGUAGACUUUCGAUGAACGGAAGUAGAUGCACAAUGAGUACGUCCGAGGCCUGAGAACCUCCGAGUUCUGGAGGAGAACCUAUAGAAGGGCUUUAGCGUCAGAGUUUAGGAAGAUCAGAGCGGACACCAAUGGGAUAAUCCCCUUUCUAUUAGUAAGGUUGUCAAAAUGCUUUCCUUUAGUUCCUUUAUGACUAAACUAAUAUAAAAGGGUAGGGGGCGCUAACGAGCAAUCAAUAACCAAUGUUAGGAAUAACAGGAUAUUUUCGUAUUCGUAGCAUGCGGGGAAUCGAAAAUAGUAUGUUUUUCCUGGGAUAACUUUCAUCUGUCAAUAGAGUGAGAUGAAAAAUCCCGUGUUCACUGGAUUGGUUGCAAAACGAGACCCCGUUUAGGGCUCCAAGUAGGUUUUGUCCAAAUUUCCCGGGUUUCAUGAAACGCACCACUUCUUGUUCUUGGUCGGUAAGUGGUCAACCAGCGCUUAGUCACGUGAGGGAGGGCGGAAUGAACCUGGCGGGGAGUAUUAUAUAUUUUCAAACUACUCCUAGAUCUCCUCAAUAGGAACUGAACAGAACAGUGAAGGGGUGAUCCAAGAGUGGAGUGGGCUCGGGCGGAACAGCGUAGCCGGAGAGGGAGAACCAAUAGCGAACCAGGAAUCAAAUAUUUGAAGGAGGUUUUUCGGUUCUUCCACGAUUCUCCGCCAUCGGUAAAUCGAUGCUUAGGGCUAAGUGGUACCAUCAUCAUCACCGACUUAUUUAUGUGAUACUCGUCCAAUUUCCCUACUGGAAUCAUUCGACCGACCAUUGCCAUUAUCUUCAGAGGACUCUCCUCAGACAAGUUCUUAGGAAUAGGACUUGCCUCUUUAAAUAGAUUUCACUUAAUCUCUCCUUCCGGCUUUCUCCUCAAUAAAAUGAAAGGCUGCUUCUUGUUUUAUAAAUUUAUAACUCAAUAAUAAAUAUUUACUUGGCAUUAGGUUCGCGAAGCUCAAGAUCACAAAUAGAUGAGACAACUAUCUUUUCAUGAUCCAUCAGAAAAGAAAGAAAUUGAUAUGUAUCUGAUGGAGUCUACAUUGUACAUAGAGCGCCCAAGCGCUUUUUAGGCCAGCUCAGUUCUCUUAUCCAUCGGUCCAAUGCACUGGGCUCAUCUCAUGGAGGGAAAAGCCAAAAUGUAGUUGUCUUGUUCGCCGCCUCGACGCAUUCCCUUCUCUCCCCGGUAUCGUCCCACACAGAAAGAAAGAGCGCUGCCUCUGCUGAAAAAAGAGUUGGAAUUGAAUCUAAAGAGACUGCCUUUGACCUUUCAUCAACUAUAAGAUUGAAAGAGAGACCCCUUAAAAUUAGAAAAUGAAAAGUAGAACUUAUUAUCUAAGAAAAGGAGCCCAACGCAUGAGUUUUGACCGUUGAAUGUGGUCGGCCUAAGGAGAAACUAUGCGUUUUUGGGAUCUGCGUGCUCCCACCUCUAAGAGGUCCAAAUGGAUUGGACUUGAGUAGGUUGAAUGAUCUUAUUCUUACCACAUCUCCAAUGGUAAUGAAAAUCAAAAUGGUUGACCAAAUUUUUCAAAAGAGAAUCUAGCACAUCCAUACCAAUGACAAACAAGUAGGGGGACAAUCUGAAGCAGCAGCCUGCCUAAGCCCUUUGGUUUGGCUCCUCUGAAGAAGCCAUUCAGCUCCCCAUUUAUGGAAAUAGAGAAAGAAGGAGUGGUGAUACAUGUCCUGAUCCAUUGGAUGACAUUUGAAGGAUUGGACAGCUUUCCUUAGCCUUAAUCAUAUCCCUUCCUCUAAGGAGUGAAGUUUGAAGGAGAGAGAAAGCUCUUUUAUCAAAUAGGCUAGCUUCACUAAAGAAAUUGACUAUCAGAACAGAAACAAUACUACCCGAAAGCAUACCGCCCAAACAAAGGAUACCAUCUCAGGCAUAGCAGAAAGCAAGGUCAACCAAACCAAUCUACCCCAGCCACCCAAGCCAAUAUCGCCGACAAGGAAGGAAAGGCUACUGCCUUGGCUACUAAAGAAAGGAGUCUACCUAUCACUAAGUGGGAAAUGAACCCCGGUGCUAGCUUUUAUCCUCCACUCUCUAACUAAAAGCCGGUCUAAAAAGUGUAUUUUGGCUAAGUCAGCAAAGGGGUAUGCUUUUCUUUCGAGCUAGGUAGUGAGCGGACUAACCCUAAAAAAGGGAGAGAGAUUAUCCCGCAAGCGGUCCUGGAUAAAAUACAGUAGAUAUAGCAGGACUUUCUUUUCCCAGGUGGCGGAUGGGAGGUACAUAAACAAAGGGAAAUAUUAUUAAUAUCAUUACAUAGGGCAAAAGGCAGGUAAGGGUUAGAACCUCGUUUAUGAUACACCAACUACGGCCGGGAGCACCCACCACCAAGAAUAGCAUUUCAACCAAACCUGCUUUCCCGAGCAAAAGCAGGACCCUUGAAUUUCUUUAUCAAUCACACGUGGAUAGGGACAAAAGCCUGGACGAUAGAGGGGUAAGUGGGUGGGUCUACCGAUGGUGGUUUUAAGUCAUCAACAAAGCAACUUAUGCUUUUAGUGGAUUUGACGCCGGGUCCUGAUCUCCAACUAGAAAAGAAAGUGAAACUCGAUCUCGAGAUGCGCCGGCCGGGAUACCGCAGGCUCAGAUGGAGGGAAGGUGAGGCAGCGUGAUUGAUGGCUUUCAAAGAGCUCUGAAAGAGAUGCAAGGGAUGUGUAAACAUUAGCUAAUGCUGGCUAUCGAAAUGAAAAGGGCUCUGCAGGGGGUUUGGUAUUUAGGCUGCGGAGGAUUAGGGUUCCAAACCCGCGCCUUAGUCUCAAAUAGGCUUUCUUUGAAGGCGUAGGUUGGCCUGGGUUCUUGAUCUGUACCCAGGUUCACUUAUACUAGUUCAUCGACAGUGGCUUGCCCUCCAUCUUCCAGCUCUGGGGGAGCGUCUUUGAGCUCGGCAACCUCUUUGGGAGCUUGGUCUGCUGUGGCCACUUUCCCAAAGAUUCGUGUUAAGACGUCUUCUGGUUCCGACUCUUUUUAUGAUGAAUCAUUCUCUGAUGAAACAAACCCUCUUGUUUAGUUGGGAAGACAUUUCUCUUUCCUUUAGAGGAACAAAAUCUCUAUCCUCUGAUGAACUUCAUCCUCCAGUCACCUAUUAGACAAAUAGAAGAUCCAUUUCGAUGAUGAGAAUGAGAAGACGAGAAGACAGAGAUCCUACUUCUUCACAAGCCUUCUCUAGCACACCCACUCCUCAAAGAAAAAUGACUUCUGUGAUUCAAGGAAGACUUUUUGAAGAAAGAUAUUAGAUUCAAUUUCUAAGUUAAAGCAGCUUACCUGACGCUUAUUCGAGUGUGUAAAAUCGGGUACUUCUGCUCGUGCGAAAUGUCCUGAAGAAAAGCAAAAAGCAGGAAGCUAAGGCUCCAUGGUAAAAGAAUAAUAGCAACUCUUCACCAGUUCAGAGAUAAAAAAAAAGUGAAGUAGAUCUCUGUAAGAGAAAUGGCACCGUUCGAGGAAAUUACAGUAAAUGGAGAGUAUGUGGCUAAUCAAGUUCAUUCAUCUGAAGAUGUUUCACCUUCGGUAUUGCAUAAGCAGCUGAGCUGGACUAACCUAACUCUUAUCCAUAUCUAUACUAACCUUGGUAAUCUGCCAAAGUACCUGAAGGAUCUACAGAAUUGCCUCAAUGCCCGUUGACUUACUGGUCACGUUACUGAGUUCCUAGGAACGAGCAAGGAAGGAUUUUGAGCCCCAACGACAAAGGAACCUACGGGCGGGGCAUUUUCGGGGAGUAGCCCGCUUCCCAUUACUCAAUAGGGCAAUUCCUCGCACAUAAUUAAGGGAGCCAUUGAAAGGUGACUAAAACACCAGAAACGACGACUACCCGAGCUAAUGAUAGAGGCAAGAACACUUUCCGGCCAAGUCCCAUUAAUUGAUCAUAACGAUAUCGUGGAAAUGCUGCACGGACCCAUAUAUAUAGGAACGGAAACAGAAUCACCUUGAUCUGGUAAGGUCUGAUUGUUAUCUGUCAGUCUUGUUUUGCCCGCGGGAAGGAAGGAGUUAUGCUUCUCUAGAAUCGGGCCACUACGCACGUCUGUAUUUAAUGAUUUCUGGUGAUGAGGGGGUUUGAUGAAGGGUGCACGUCCGGAGCUGGUGUAGAGAGGUGGUGGGAGCGGCAUAAGAUCGCACGGGUCGGGCUCCCCAUUUCUUCUUGCUUUUCUAAUCUUCCUUUCUCUCAUUCCUUUUCUGACCAACGGCACUGAGCGUCAACCCGAAAGUCAAUGAGCACGGUACAUGCCUGACUUCUUGUUAUUUAUACCCUGGUUUCUAACGGUUCACUUCGCUAGCUUCGGUCCCCUACUUCUGGGAUCCCCUCCUUGGGGAUUGGCUAACAACAUCUGAUAUGUUCUACGCUCGGAGGUGCGGGACCCUCUUCGGCCCCUUGCCACCGGGUUUCUAGUCCGGUUGAUGCCGUAGGAAAACAAUAAACAAGAGCUACAACCACUAGAAAAGAAGAUGCUGACUUUAGCUCAGCUUCGGCACUUUCGGCUAAGGCAAGUAAAGAAUAAGAAAGCGGUAAGCCGGAGAGGAACGACGAGCGGAAAUCAGUAGUCACUCUGCUACUUAUCAUUGGAGAUGCGAAAUCUUCUUCUCUGUAUUAGCCACCCUUCUUCACAGAAAAAGAGAGCUCAGAAGACCUCGUCUAUUAUGGUACGGAUAAAUCAAUGGUACCGGAGACCCCCUUCUUUGCCCAUUUUUCUCUUUCGAAAAGAAACCACCGCCCUUGAUCGGAUCUAUCAGCAGCGGCAUUCUCCCUUGACUCUAUCUUUAAUUGAAUUAUGGAACUCUCUCCCAGAGCUGCAGAACUAACAACUCUAUUAGAAAGUAGAAUUAGCAACUUUUACACGAAUUUUCAAGUGGAUGAGAUCGGUCGAGUGGUCUCAGUUUCUUGCCCGGCUUUCUUUCGCUGAAGGGGAACUAGCCUACAACAACCUAUUCGCUUGCCUCUUUUAAUGAUAUAUCCCCGGGCUUUCUACCAGUCUUUACCUAUUUUCCUAUGGAGUGAUGGGCACAUGCUUCUCAGUACUGAUUCGUAUGGAAUUAGCACGACCCGGCGAUCAAAUUCUUGGUGGGAAUCAUCAACUUUAUAAUGUUUUAAUAACGGCUCACGCUUUUUUAAUGAUCUUUUUUAUUCAGGCGCUGAGGGAUCAGAUAGUGAGUUCGUUCUCCUAUUUACCGUAGAUGACUUUCCUAUAGAAUCGGUUCUUUUCUCGAGAACGAAAUAAAAAGCAGAAGAUUUCCAAAUGAAAUGAGGAAAGGAUGAGCAAAAAUGAAGAAAUGAAUCCUCGACCCCAAAGAAAAGGCGGAGUAAGGUGUAGUCUUCUUAGUAUCAAUACAAUAUCAAUAGGAUGAGGCCCCCAGCAAUGGGGGAAGGGAGAGUGGGUAGCGGGCUCCUUUCGCUUGACUUUUUAGGUUGCUUGCGAAGAUAACAUCAACCAUCAGGGACUGAAUCAAGCCUUGAAUCAAUACAUUGAUGAUCAAAAAUAGAAUAGAUAAGCUCAAAGAAUUCCUCAAGGAAGCUCUCUAUCACCCUACUCAUGAAUGUCUUCUUACUUUGAUCUGAAAAUGUUGAGUUACUUGAGUAAAAACAUCUGCUACGCUCGAUAUGCAGACGAUUGACUCUUUGCAGGGAAAUAGGCUUCUUCAGCCUGAAAAGCUCUUCUUAUCCCACCUUUAACCUACCCCGCCUGACGCCCUAAUCCAUUCCUUCGCGCUAUUGCUAUCGAAAAUAAUUAAUGUAGUUAGCAUAAUGCUUUUAAAGCUCUAGUAAAGGCAUAUGUGGUUAUUUAUGUAAUGUAGUGCUUUAUGUAGUAGUAAUGAAUAAAUCUUUUGUUAUCAAAAGCCUUGUUUUGGGCAUAACAAGCCCUGCCAACCGUUGACUGGCAUCUCACUCUAUCGAGGAACCCGGUUUGGCUUCAAUUGAGCGAUUUCAGCAAUCCAAGCGGCGGGUGGAAUGAGUCCCUCCUUUCCAAACUUGCUCGCUUUGCUGGUUUUAGGCUCUGAAAUCGAUGUUGUUGGCGAGCGUAGGAUGAGCUAUGUUCAUGCUAGCAUUAUCUCCCCUGAGUAAGAAGACCAUUUUAUGCGAUGCGAAGUGUUAAGCGCAUAAAAGAUCCGAUGAUCAUUUCACCAUCAUCCUCAUCAACGCAGGACCCACCUUCUUCAUCCAAUACCAUAGGCCCUCAGAAAACCCUUUUACGGAUCUCCUAAAUAAUGCCUCUCCUCUCCUCCUAUCUUGUAUAUAAGUUCUUUAGAAUUUCUCGUAUCGUUUUUCGUGGAUUAGCAUCUCGAGGUCCUUUGAUGGGCAUAAAGAAAUCGUCUUGGUAGCAGAGUUAGCUCCGCUGCUGGUCUACAAGCAAGGUAAGUAGGUCCAUUACCGGCAUUAACGCUGCAAAGACCAAUGCACCGAUUGCGGUACAAUAGGGUUGUAAUUCACUAGUUAUUCCAGAUGCUCGCCAAAUCUGAAAAAACCCAGAGGUUAUUUGGGCUGUUGGGCGUAAUCGUAAGAAUCACUUUUCAUUUCAUCCCUCUAGUUCCGCUUCUUGCUCUCAAAAUGAACUUCUUCAAGGAACUAGUGGCAACAGAAGAUGAGGGUUUUGUUUUGGUUCCUCUGGUGGUGCUUCCACGGGUAUGCUGCUUUGCCAUGGGUUGAUUUCAGCUGCUCUUUUGGGGAGGACAAGUAGUUUGACUUUAGUACUCAAUUUGAGACUUCUAGCCGGUCUGGAUUUCCAACGCCUCGGGAAACUGGUCGAGAUAGAUGACAGCACCUUUUUCCCCUCUUCCUUACCGGGAGGGCAAUCUUCUCUUAUGGCCUUCACCUCCCGCCCGGCCCGGAAAUAGAGAGAACCAAACCCCCUUCUGAUCCAUUCAUUUCUGCAAGUAGGGAGGAUCCAGAGCUAAGCCCCCUCCCAUUCGAGGCCGAGUGGCCUCGCCCCAUAAGCACCCAACCUUCCUUUUGCUCUUCCUUCGGUUUGCCUCCACGAACGCGCCACCUAGGAGCCCUACUCAUAUUCCAAAGGCGACCAGCUUUCAAUACUAGUUGUUACCUUACGCUGCCAUUUUUCCAAUAUUAUUGAAUAGCAUGGCCUGGGGCUAAGAUAACUCAAG